This 222-nucleotide ribosomal RNA is filed under the name uncultured bacterium. RNAcentral's name for it is "partial 16S ribosomal RNA". It matches the Rfam family "Bacterial small subunit ribosomal RNA", at positions 112 to 334 of the family's 1533-position model. The record is from RNAcentral.
CGGACGUGGGUAACCUGCCCUAUACACAUGGAUAACAUACUGAAAAGUUUACUAAUACAUGAUAAUAUAUAUUUACGGCAUCGUAGAUACAUCAAAGUGUUAGCGGUAUAGGAUGGACCCGCGUCUGAUUAGCUAGUUGGUGAGAUAACUGCCCACCAAGGCGACGAUCAGUAGCCGACCUGAGAGGGUGAUCGGCCACAUUGGAACUGAGACACGGUCCAA